RNAcentral lists this ribosomal RNA (484 nucleotides) under uncultured bacterium. Its description in RNAcentral is "partial 16S ribosomal RNA". It matches the Rfam family "Bacterial small subunit ribosomal RNA", at positions 30 to 507 of the family's 1533-position model. The record is from RNAcentral.
AUUGAACGCUGGCGGCAGGCCUAACACAUGCAAGUCGAGCGGAUGAAGGGAGCUUGCUCCUGGAUUCAGCGGCGGACGGGUGAGUAAUGCCUAGGGAUCUGCCUGGUAGUGGGGGAUAACGUCCGGAAACGGGCGCUAAUACCGCAUACGUCCUGAGGGAGAAAGUGGGGGAUCUUCGGACCUCACGCUAUCAGAUGAGCCUAGGUCGGAUUAGCUAGUUGGUGGGGUAAAGGCCUACCAAGGCGACGAUCCGUAGCUGGUCUGAGAGGAUGAUCAGUCACACUGGAACUGAGACACGGUCCAGACUCCUACGGGAGGCAGCAGUGGGGAAUAUUGGACAAUGGGCGAAAGCCUGAUCCAGCCAUGCCGCGUGUGUGAAGAAGGUCUUCGGAUUGUAAAGCACUUUAAGUUGGGAGGAAGGGCAGUAAGUUAAUACCUUGCUGUUUUGACGUUACCAACAGAAUAAGCACCGGCUAACUUCGUG